GAGUUUGAUCCUGGCUCAGAUUGAACGCUGGCGGCAGGCCUAACACAUGCAAGUCGAGCGGAUGAAGGGAGCUUGCUCCUGGAUUCAGCGGCGGACGGGUGAGUAAUGCCUAGGAAUCUGCCUGGGUAGUGGGGGAUAACGUCCGGAAACGGGCGCUAAUACCGCAUACGUCCUGAGGGAGAAAGUGGGGGAUCUUCGGACCUCACGCUAUCAGAUGAGCCUAGGUCGGAUUAGCUAGUUGGUGGGGUAAAGGCCUACCAAGGCGACGAUCCGUAACUGGUCUGAGAGGAUGAUCAGUCACACUGGAACUGAGACACGGUCCAGACUCCUACGAGAGGCAGCAGUGGGGAAUAUUGGACAAUGGGCGAAAGCCUGAUCCAGCCAUGCCGCGUGUGUGAAGAAGGUCUUCGGAUUGUAAAGCACUUUAAGUUGGGAGGAAGGGCAGUAAGUUAAUACCUUGCUGUUUGACGUUACCAACAGAAUAAGCACCGGCUAACUUCGUGCCAGCCGCCGCGGU
Molecule: ribosomal RNA, 517 nt
Filed under: uncultured microorganism
Description: bacterial SSU rRNA
Rfam family: Bacterial small subunit ribosomal RNA
Source: RNAcentral